RNAcentral lists this RNase P RNA (362 nucleotides) under Kiritimatiella glycovorans. RNAcentral describes it as "Bacterial RNase P class A". It matches the Rfam family "Bacterial RNase P class A". Rfam says of the family: Ribonuclease P (RNase P) is a ubiquitous endoribonuclease, found in archaea, bacteria and eukarya as well as chloroplasts and mitochondria. Its best characterised activity is the generation of mature 5'-ends of tRNAs by cleaving the 5'-leader elements of precursor-tRNAs. Cellular RNase Ps are ribonucleoproteins. The record is from Rfam by way of RNAcentral. Lineage: Bacteria; Pseudomonadati; Kiritimatiellota; Kiritimatiellia; Kiritimatiellales; Kiritimatiellaceae.
GCGGUGAGGUUCGGUCGCUUUCCGGCAGUGCCGGGGAGAGGAAAGUCCGGACUCCGCAGGGCAGGACGUCCCGUGGUUAACGCGGGAGGCCCUUCGCAAGAACGAAGGGUACGGAAAGUGCCGCAGAAAACAGACCGCCCGCCGAAGCUUUAGCUGAGACGGGUAAGGGUGAAAAGGUGGGGUAAGAGCCCACCGCCCCGAGGGUGACCGAGGGGGCAGGGUAAACCCCGUCCGGAGCAAGAUCGAAUAGGGGACGAGAGGCGGCCCGUCUCGUCAGGAGUCCCGGGUAGAUCGCACUAGAUAAAUGACCGAUAACCGCUUUAUGCGGGAGACAGAAUCCGGCUUACCGCCUCACCUUUUUU